GACGAACGCUGGCGGCGUGCCUAAUACAUGCAAGUAGAACGCUGAAGGAAGGAGCUUGCUCUUUCUGGAUGAGUUGCGAACGGGUGAGUAACGCGAGGUAAACCUCCUUGGAAGGGGGGGAAAACAAUGGAAAAGGAAAGCAAAAACGGAAUAAAAUGAUUAUUGGAAGAAUGGCAAAUAAAAGGUGGAAACUGAACAACAACCGAGGGACCUGCGUUGUAUUGGCUAGUUGGGGGGGUUACGGCUCACCAAGGGGGCGAUACAUAGCCGACCUGGGGGGGUGAUCGGCCACACUGGGACUGAGACACGGCCCAGACUCCUACGGGAGGCAGCAGUAGGGAAUCUUCGGCAAUAGACGGAAGUCUGACCGAGCAACGCCGCGUGAGUGAAGAAGGUUUUCGGAUCGUAAAGCUCUGUUGUAAGAGAAGAACGAGUGUGAGAGUGGAAAGUUCACACUGUGACGGUAUCUUACCAGAAAGGGACGGCUAACUACGUG
This 496-nucleotide ribosomal RNA is filed under the name uncultured bacterium. Its description in RNAcentral is "partial 16S ribosomal RNA". It matches the Rfam family "Bacterial small subunit ribosomal RNA", at positions 28 to 507 of the family's 1533-position model. The record is from RNAcentral.